GUUGACCUCGGAUCAGGUAGGAAUACCCGCUGAACUUAAGCAUAUCAAUAAGCGGAGGAAAAGAAACCAACAGGGAUUGCCCCAGUAACGGCGAGUGAAGCGGCAACAGCUCAAAUUUGAAAUCUGGCCCCCGGGUCCGAGUUGUAAUUUGUAGAGGAUGCUUUUGGCGAGGUGCCUUCCGAGUUCCCUGGAACGGGACGCCAUAGAGGGUGAGAGCCCCGUCUGGUCGGACACCGAGCCUCUGUAAAGCUCCUUCGACGAGUCGAGUAGUUUGGGAAUGCUGCUCAAAAUGGGGAGGUAUAUGUCUUCUAAAGCUAAAUAUUGGCCAGAGACCGAUAGCGCACAAGUAGAGUGAUCGAAAGAUGAAAAGCACUUUGAAAAGAGGGUUAAAAAGUACGUGAAAUUGUUGAAAGGGAAGCGCCUAUGACCAGACUUGGGCCCGGUGAAUCACCCAGCGUUCUCGCUGGUGCACUUCGCCGGGCACAGGCCAGCAUCAGUUUGGCGCGGGGGAGAAAGGCUUCGGGAAUGUGGCUCCCCCGGGAGUGUUAUAGCCCGUUGCGCAAUACCCUGCGCUGGACUGAGGUACGCGCAUUCGCAAGGAUGCUGGCGUAAUGGUCAUCAGCGACCCGUCUUGAAACACGGACCAAGGAGUCGUCUUCGUAUGCGAGUGUUCGGGUGUCAAACCCCUACGCGUAAUGAAAGUGAACGCAGGUGAGAGCUUCGGCGCAUCAUCGACCGAUCCUGAUGUUCUCGGAUGGAUUUGAGUAAGAGCAUACGGGGCCGGACCCGAAAGAAGGUGAACUAUGCCUGUAUAGGGUGAAGCCAGAGGAAACUCUGGUGGAGGCUCGCAGCGGUUCUGACGUGCGAAUC
Molecule: ribosomal RNA, 870 nt
Filed under: Cordyceps militaris
Lineage: Eukaryota; Fungi; Ascomycota; Sordariomycetes; Hypocreales; Cordycipitaceae
Description: eukaryotic LSU rRNA
Rfam family: Eukaryotic large subunit ribosomal RNA
Source: RNAcentral